AUUGAACGCUGGCGGCAGGCCUAACACAUGCAAGUCGAGCGGAUGAAGGGAGCUUGCUCCUGGAUUCAGCGGCGGACGGGUGAGUAAUGCCUAGGAAUCUGCCUGGUAGUGGGGGAUAACGUCCGGAAACGGGCGCUAAUACCGCAUACGUCCUGAGGGAGAAAGUGGGGGAUCUUCGGACCUCACGCUAUCAGAUGAGCCUAGGUCGGAUUAGCUAGUUGGUGGGGUAAGGGCCUACCAAGGCGACGAUCCGUAACUGGUCUGAGAGGAUGAUCAGUCACCCGGGAACUGAGACACGGUCCCGACUCCGGGGGGGAGCAGCAGUGGGGAAUAUUAGGCGAGGGGCCAAAGGCUGAUACAGGCAUGCCGCGGGUGUGAAGAAGGUCCUCGGAUUGGUAAGCACUGUAAGUUGGGGGGAAGGGCAGUAAGUUUAUACCUUGCUGUUUUGACGGUACCAACAGAAUAAGCUCCGGCUAACUUCGUG
Molecule: ribosomal RNA, 484 nt
Filed under: uncultured bacterium
Lineage: Bacteria
Description: partial 16S ribosomal RNA
Rfam family: Bacterial small subunit ribosomal RNA
Source: RNAcentral